Molecule: long non-coding RNA, 411 nt
Organism: Elgaria multicarinata webbii
Lineage: Eukaryota; Metazoa; Chordata; Lepidosauria; Squamata; Anguidae
Exons: 3
Source: RefSeq, a predicted model, not a curated record
GCCCUAGUUGUCAUAGCAGCACUAGGAGGUGGGGCUCGGUCGCCAAAGCAGCGAAGAAGACUUACGAUUUUUGAACAGCUGAAUCAUGUUAUUUGAAUUGGAGUUGGCAACACUAUCCAUGUCUGCUAAACAUACAGGGAAGUUUCUCUAGUCAGAUUAGGGAAGACUCACCUACAGAGAGCGCCUUCUCCCUUACCAACCUGCCCGGUCACUGAGGUCAUCCGAGGGCCUGAUCCUGGUGGUUCCACCCAGAUCCAUCCUCCGAUUGGAAUCCACCAGGGGAAGAGCCUUCAGCGUGGUGGCACCCCUCCUGUGGAAUUCCCUGCCUCUGGAGGUCAGGCAGGCUCUGACCUUGUACUCUUUUCGGCGCCUCCUGAAAACAUCUUUAUUCCAAGAAGCCUUUCUUUAACA